This 959-nucleotide long non-coding RNA is filed under the name Homo sapiens (human). Its description in RNAcentral is "long intergenic non-protein coding RNA 1198". The record is from RNAcentral. Lineage: Eukaryota; Metazoa; Chordata; Mammalia; Primates; Hominidae.
AGUCUACAAAACCCCACAUCCCCUGAGAAUUCUCUCGCCUGCCUUAGGCACUUAGGCUCCGGGAGAUUGCAAAUAACCUGCUUUCUUUCUGUUCCCGGGCUGCGUUCGGACUCCUGUCAGAUAGUAAAUCCUAAGCUCCGGUAGACUGCAAAUGACCUGCUUUCUUUCUGUUCCCGGGCUGCGUUUGGACCCCUGUCGGACAGUAAAUCCCAAGUAAGGUACCUGCCCUCGGCAGAUUUGAGCUUUCUUCUUGGACACCUAAUACCCACAGUCCUCCAGGAAUGGAACAGAUAAGAAGAUACUGAAAUUGGACGGUGCUGCCGUGCGGCUGCCGCAGGACACCUUUAAUAUCCCUGUUUCUCAGGCUGUAGAUGAAGGGGUUCAGCAUGGAGGUGAUCACCGUGUACAUCACUGAGGCCACUGCAGCCUUUCUCGGGGAAGAUGACACAUCUGAACUGAGGUACCCUCCAAAGCCUGUUCCGUAAAAUCAGCAAACAACUGACAGGAUAACUUCAGGAAGUGGGUAUUAAUUCUCACGGUAUAAGUGAAGACAUUAAGCACCAGAGUUUAAGUAGCUUGAUCCACUGAAAGAGAUUCAACUGUGUGGAACCUAUGCCGUGGAGAAUUGCUUUCUGCCAUUGUUAUCGUCCAGCAGUUGCCGAAUAGCUCUGACCUGAGCAAAGCAGUGAAACGCGGUGCUGUUGAGUGGGUUGCCACUGCACCUUUUUCAACUACUCUAGUCUUGUGGAGAAAAUACCCCUUCUAAAUUUUUUCUUCAUUGAAUACUCUCCCUCAGCUCCAGAGUACCAUAUAGAGUUUUCUUGUAUUUUAGAGUUACUGUUUUAUCAAAGUUUACCAGUCUUUUGUAUUACAUUUCUCCUGUCUAAAUCGACUGUGUGGUUUCUACUCAUUAUGGAUAUAGAUUGAUACAAACUCAAUAAAUAUUUUUGAAUGAAUAA